This is a non-coding RNA of Paramarasmius palmivorus, 84 nucleotides long. NCBI's taxonomy places the organism in Eukaryota, Fungi, Basidiomycota, Agaricomycetes, Agaricales, Marasmiaceae. The record is from the annotation of a GenBank genome assembly.
GCAUUAAUGGGGUAGUGGUAACCUGGGUCGUUGCCAUUCCGAGUGAAUUUCGACCCGCCGGGGGUUCGAUUCCCUCUUAAUGCA